AGCGUGACCCCCCUAAGGAGUCACAUGGGCCGACCUGGGGCGGGGACGGAAAGAGUAGAAGAACUCCUUCCGGGUCACUGUCGAGAGUCUCAACCUGGGGCGGGAACUUCUUUACCCUUUCCUGUAACUUAAAGGCUGCACCGACUUGUGGUGCUUGAGAUUUGACGAUGAGUUCCCAGAAAGGAAACGUGACUCGGUCCCGGCCUCAGAAGCACCAGAAUACGUUCACCUUCAAAAAUGACAAGUUUGAUAAGAGUGUUCAGACCAAGAAAAUUAAUGCAAAACUUCAUGAUGGAGUAUGUCAGCGCUGCAAAGAAGUCCUUGAAUGGCAUGUAAAAUACAGCAAAUAUAAGCCACUGUCAAAGCCUAAGAAAUAUGUUAAAUGUUUACAAAAGACAGUGAAGGACUCUUACUACAUAAUGUGUAGACCAUGUGCCUGUGAACUUGAAGUUUGUGCAAAAUGUGGAAAAAAAGAAGAGAUCGUUAUUCCGUUUAAUAAAGAACCAGAAACUUCAGACAAUACUGAAAAUGAAGGUUCUAACCAUAGAAGAAGCUGCAGACGGAAGGAAGACAGUGAUGAGGACUUAGAUGCUGAGUCUGACUCGGGUGGGGACAUGCAGGCCUGACAGCACAGAGCAAGUCCGAAGAGUCUGUUCCAAUAGGCAGAACUGGCUCAGGAGCAAUAUCGGUUACUUAUAACAUUUGAGUAACAGAAUCCUAAAGGUUUUCACAAUAACACUAAGCUGUAUAUACAAAAUAUGUGUGGGCAUACCAUGGCAUGUUGUAUAAGACCUAUAGAAGUUAAGAAAAACAUUAUCUAAUGUCAAAUUAUUCAGUGUUGAGAAUUGGUGAUUGUAUCAGAACUAUCUUAUGGAAAACUAAGAUGACUGGCUCAGAGUACAUAUCCAUAGCCUGACCUCGGGUAUGUGACUUCAUUAGCAAAAGCCCCCUUACAUCGUACAAAACAAAACAGUCUAUUUUUACACACACAUACAAGCAUGUGUAAUGAUUUU
This is an RNA transcript of Mastomys coucha (southern multimammate mouse), 1013 nucleotides long. RefSeq lists it as uncharacterized. The transcript has a single exon. Lineage: Eukaryota; Metazoa; Chordata; Mammalia; Rodentia; Muridae. The record is from RefSeq and is a predicted model, not a curated record.